This 268-nucleotide unclassified non-coding RNA is filed under the name uncultured Lactarius. Its description in RNAcentral is "sequence contains ITS2". Lineage: Eukaryota; Fungi; Basidiomycota; Agaricomycetes; Russulales; Russulaceae. The record is from RNAcentral.
AAAUCUCAACCUCCUUUGUUUCUUCUGAGGGCCAAAGGAGGCUUGGACUUUGGAGGUUUUUGCUGGCGUCUUCUCUUUGAAAGGCCAGCUCCUCUUAAAUGAAUUAGCGGGGUCCUCUUUGCCGAUCCUUGACAUGUGAUAAGAUGCUUCCGUGUCUUGGUUCCUGGCUCUGUUGCCUUUGGGACCCGCUUCUAACCGUCUUGACCUUGCAUCGAGACAACGUUCGAGCUCGUCUCCCUUCUUGGGAAACCCCCUCGACCUCACGAAC